This is an RNA transcript of Medicago truncatula (barrel medic), 3039 nucleotides long. It is a transcript of the gene named putative polyketide hydroxylase, with no coding region annotated. The record is from RefSeq and is a predicted model, not a curated record. Lineage: Eukaryota; Viridiplantae; Streptophyta; Magnoliopsida; Fabales; Fabaceae. The transcript is spliced from 4 exons.
UUGAACCUUAAAUUGAGAGUCUCACGGUUCCGGUUGGAUCUUCAGUCCAGUUUCAAAAAUAUUAAGUGGGAGUAUUUAGGGAAGUUCAGGCGAGCAAUUUCGGUUGGGAAAAGAGUAAUUUUCCCGUCUAAAGUUUGGUAGAACCCUAAUCAGCUUCGAUGCCCCCAAAUUGUGUUGUCGAAAAGCUAUUUUUCAUAUUCGUUGCUUUUGGGUUUUGAUCGAGUAAUUUUUUUAUUUUUUUUUGGUGUUUUAAUUGAAGAAUGAAUUGAAUUUGGUUGAGUUGAUGAUGAAAGUAUAAUUGGCAUGAGCUAUAACAACAAUCUGCGCACCGUGAAAUUGUCACGGGUUGUUACAGCUUUGAAGAAUGUGCCUAUAUGCUAAUCUGAAGCAUCUUCAUCUUUGUCUUUCAUUCUUUUUUCUUUAAUUGUUUUGUAUCUCUGUGCUUUAUUUUUACGUAUUUGAUUUGAUACAAUCUCAUUAUUAUUUGAAUUUUGAAAUACUUUAGUAUAUUUAGGACAAAUAGCUUAUGUUAGAGAAACAUAUAUAUAUUGAAACAGUAUGAAAUUAAAAUUAGUCCAAUUGUUAUUUGAGAGUAAAAAAGUAACCAUCAAUUUAGUUCUCUAAAAUUUAGCUUAGUCUCUAAAGUAUGUAGCAUCCAUCAAUUUAGUGCAUACAAUUACAAAUAUUAGGAACUAAAUUGAUAGAUUUUCAUAUGCUUUAGGGAUUAAAUUGGCGGGUUUCGUAUAAAUUAAGCACUUCUUUGAUGGUUUAUUCAAAUAAUGCUAGUUGAUCACAUACGUUGAUUGUAAAACUAAUGAAUAUCUCUCCUAGAGGUAGAACUUCUCUGGUUUGGAGAGCUAUAACAAUAGUUUGACAGUAGUUGGAUGAUAAUUUUCACUUUCUUUUGAAAGCUUGGUUCUAUGCAUUUUCUAAUAGGUAUUUUUGAUUCAAUUCUCGUGCUGCAUGCUGUGGUUUUCUGGUCCAUGUGGAAUUGAUGUAUCCUCUUCUUAUCUGUGGGUGUUAUUGUUUUUGUUUCUGUUAUUUUUGUAUUGCUGUUUACAUUCCUGUAUUUUUAUCCUCUAUUGGUAUUCAUUGUAGUGAUGGGUCUUGUUUAAUCUUCCAUAGAAGUCCUUUCUGUUUUAGCAAGAAGAAAAAAGAUAUUUAUUGGCCUAAAUGGGCACAGAAUCCGCUUCUAGAAGGUCUCCUACUCAUACGAGUUGAUAUCCUCUUCAUUUAAUGGAAACUUUCAUUUGGAGAGACAUAGACAAAUGAAAUUAAAUGAUAAUUUAUUUCAAUGUCUAUCUCUCUCUAAAUGGAAGUGUCCAUUAAACGGAGAGGAUCUCAACUUGCUCGUAUGCCUCAAAGGGAGUUUGGAAAAAUUGGUAACUAGAUAACUUGCCCAGCAUUAAACCUAGAGCUAUUGCUCAUGUUGAUUCCCAGACUGAUCCUUAACCAAUGUUGGCUUAUUCUUCAUUAAGUCAGACUAUAAAUUCCUUCAUUAUAAGAAAGCAAGGGUUGGCGAUUCAUAUUCUUUUUUUUUUUUUAAGAAACGGCGAUUCAUAUUCUAUUUAGAAUUUCAAAGGGCUUCCUUAAAGGAUUCAGUCAUGACUAACUUCUUACCCAUGAAGAUUGGGAUUAGAAGGGGCAUGACAACUAAUGCUGAUUGCCAGAGAUGUAAUGACCAGAUGAAUGAUUGGAACGGUCCACCGCUGCUUUGGAGUCAAGCUCAAAUGUAACAUGGUGCAAGUUCAUCUCUCCAAUUCAAUGAAUGGGGUGAAGUAAUCCAUAAGCCUUGCCUUCAUUACUUGACAAAGUGGUGUAUCUUAUGUGUAUCAUUUUUUACUCUAUCUACCAGGGAACCAAACACACAAAUAGUAAAACUAGUCACUAGCUUCCUCGUGAUCAUUAUUAUGAACUACUACUCCGGUGUUAUUAUAAGAGAAAAUGUACUUUUUAGAUUUAUUCAAUAAAUGUUGUCUAUAGUCUUAUAUUAGGAACUAUAUACAAUAUUUAUUGAAUUAACCUAAAAAAUAAAUUUUCGCUUAUAAAUAAGAUCGGAAGGAGUACAUAUGAAAGUGGCUCACUAGUCUUUUUGUUCAACAGUUGUUCAAUGGGAUCAUUUGAUUGAUCGUUGAAGUGACAAGAGUAUAUUUGCCUAGUGCUGAACUUGGAAUAGAUAGAUUGAAUUAAUUUACCAAUAUUCCAUAAAUUCCUUUAUACUAAAACUACAGAAUCCAUUUGAACCAUAAAUCAUGUUUGGUUCAUAGGUUUGAAAGGUAGCUAAUCAUGCACCCCUUUGACUGUUAGUUUUUUAUUCAUUCUUAUUUCACUCAACAAGAAAAUUUGUUGAAUGUUACAUUACAUCCCAUAUAUAUGAGUCAAUUUUGUAGCUUUGUGCUCUCAUCAUACCACACUACCAGUCACAUAUAAAGUAGCAAAACAAAUAAAUUUUAUACCCUUUGGCCUCAUAAUUCAUUCUGCUUAAGCUGAACCUUAUUCUCCCCAGUUCCCUUGCCGUGGUGUAAUUUGGUGCUGCAAAGAUAGCCAAUUGACCAUAUGGGAUCUGGUGGACCAGGAGGGCCUGGUGGACCUGGUUGGGGCCCUGGCCCAGGUGGGCCUGGUGGACCUGGUUGGGGUCCUGGACCUGGAGGACCUGGUUGGGGUCCACCUGGACCUGGGGGCUUUUUUGGUGGAUUUGCUAAUGGUUUAUGCAGCCUCUUAUCUUCUUGCCUCUCCUGCUUAUGCUGUUGCUGGUUGCUACAAGAUUGCUUCGGUGGUCCACCACGAGGCCCAGGCCCUUUCUAGUACCAGGAUUGUCAUUUAUUUACUUGUGUUUUUAAGUUUGCUGUCUGCACUGAACUGCUACUACUAAUUAAGCUGGAUCAGUAAAGUUGAAGUUUCACUACACGCUGCCUAACUAGUCAUGUCCAUUGUUCAAUUUUAAUGUUGUGUGGUGACCAAAAAUUAGAUUAAAUAAAAUAAAUUGGUGGUUGUGUUACCUAACUUUCAUUCUAGCUUACCAUUUCUAUUUAAUUAUUA